UACGUAGGGUGCGAGCGUUGUCCGGAAUUAUUGGGCGUAAAGGGCUCGUAGGCGGUUUGUCGCGUCGGGAGUGAAAUCCACUGGCUUAACUGGUGGCUUGCUUUCGAUACGGGCAGACUGGAGGCAUGCAGGGGAGAACGGAAUUCCAGGUGUAGCGGUGAAAUGCGUAGAUAUCUGGAGGAACACCGGUGGCGAAGGCGGCAUCCUGGACCGGCAUUGACGCUGAGGCGCGAAAGCCAGGGGAGCAAACGGG
Molecule: ribosomal RNA, 253 nt
Filed under: uncultured bacterium
Lineage: Bacteria
Description: partial 16S ribosomal RNA
Rfam family: Bacterial small subunit ribosomal RNA
Source: RNAcentral